GCCCUGUUAGCACAGUUGGUAGUGCGUAAGACUUCUAAAUUUUAAGAAGAUAUCAUCUUAAGGUCGCGGGUUCGAGCCCCGCAUGGGGUU
This is a non-coding RNA of Kwoniella botswanensis, 90 nucleotides long. NCBI's taxonomy places the organism in Eukaryota, Fungi, Basidiomycota, Tremellomycetes, Tremellales, Cryptococcaceae. The record is from the annotation of a RefSeq genome assembly.